GCCAGCAGCCAUACUACCUGCAGUUCAGACUAGGUUGUCCACCUGAAGCUAAGCAGCUUUGGGCCUACCCAGCACUUGGAUGGGAGACCAACCAGGAAAGCUGGGUUGUUGCUGGGA
Molecule: ribosomal RNA, 117 nt
Filed under: Paramormyrops kingsleyae
Lineage: Eukaryota; Metazoa; Chordata; Actinopteri; Osteoglossiformes; Mormyridae
Source: RNAcentral